GAGGGUUUAGCUCAGUGGUAGAGUGCUUUCUUAGCAUGCAUGAGGUCCUGGGUUCAAUCCCCAGUGGCUCCA
RNAcentral lists this transfer RNA (72 nucleotides) under Camelus bactrianus (Bactrian camel). It matches the Rfam family "tRNA". From Rfam's summary of the family: Transfer RNA (tRNA) molecules are approximately 80 nucleotides in length. Their secondary structure includes four short double-helical elements and three loops (D, anti-codon, and T loops). RNAcentral also lists the same sequence under 2 other names. Lineage: Eukaryota; Metazoa; Chordata; Mammalia; Artiodactyla; Camelidae. The record is from Rfam by way of RNAcentral.